AUUGAACGCUGGCGGCAGGCCUAACACAUGCAAGUCGAGCGAGCGGCGGACGGGUGAGUAAUGUCUGGGAAACUGCCUGAUGGAGGGGGAUAACUACUGGAAACGGUAGCUAAUACCGCAUACCAUCAGAUGUGCCCAGAUGGGAUUAGCUAGUAGGUGGGGUAAUGGCUCACCUAGGCGAUGAUCCCUAGCUGGUCUGAGAGGAUGACCAGCCAAACGGGAACUGAGACACGGUCCAGACUCCUACGGGGGGCAGCAGGGGGGAAUAUUGCACAAGGGGCGCAGGCCUGAGGCAGCCAUGCCGGGUGUAUGAAGAAGGCCUUCGGGUUGUAAAGUACUUUCAGCGAGGAGGCGUUACUCGCAGAAGAAGCACCGGCUAACUCCGUGCCAGCAGCCGCGGUAAUA
This 405-nucleotide ribosomal RNA is filed under the name uncultured bacterium. RNAcentral's name for it is "partial 16S ribosomal RNA". It matches the Rfam family "Bacterial small subunit ribosomal RNA", at positions 29 to 525 of the family's 1533-position model. The record is from RNAcentral.